UACGUAGGGUGCAAACGUUGCUCGGAAUUACUGGGCGUAAAGCGCGUGUAGGUGGAUUGGUGUGUCAGAUGUGAAAGCCCUGGGCUCAACCCAGGAACUGCACCUGAAACUACCAGUCUUGAGUGGUGGAGAGGGAAGUGGAAUUCCUGGUGUAGAGGUGAAAUUCGUAGAUAUCAGGAGGAACACCAGUGGCGAAGGCGGCUUCCUGGACACUAACUGACGCUGAGACGCGAAAGCGUGGGGAGCAAACAGG
This 253-nucleotide ribosomal RNA is filed under the name uncultured bacterium. Its description in RNAcentral is "partial 16S ribosomal RNA". It matches the Rfam family "Bacterial small subunit ribosomal RNA", at positions 524 to 776 of the family's 1533-position model. The record is from RNAcentral.